RNAcentral lists this ribosomal RNA (713 nucleotides) under Bacillus pumilus. RNAcentral describes it as "bacterial SSU rRNA". It matches the Rfam family "Bacterial small subunit ribosomal RNA", at positions 61 to 757 of the family's 1533-position model. The record is from RNAcentral. Lineage: Bacteria; Bacillati; Bacillota; Bacilli; Caryophanales; Bacillaceae.
GUCGAGCGAACAGAAGGGAGCUUGCUCCCGGAUGUUAGCGGCGGACGGGUGAGUAACACGUGGGUAACCUGCCUGUAAGACUGGGAUAACUCCGGGAAACCGGAGCUAAUACCGGAUAGUUCCUUGAACCGCAUGGUUCAAGGAUGAAAGACGGUUUCGGCUGUCACUUACAGAUGGACCCGCGGCGCAUUAGCUAGUUGGUGGGGUAAUGGCUCACCAAGGCGACGAUGCGUAGCCGACCUGAGAGGGUGAUCGGCCACACUGGGACUGAGACACGGCCCAGACUCCUACGGGAGGCAGCAGUAGGGAAUCUUCCGCAAUGGACGAAAGUCUGACGGAGCAACGCCGCGUGAGUGAUGAAGGUUUUCGGAUCGUAAAGCUCUGUUGUUAGGGAAGAACAAGUGCGAGAGUAACUGCUCGCACCUUGACGGUACCUAACCAGAAAGCCACGGCUAACUACGUGCCAGCAGCCGCGGUAAUACGUAGGUGGCAAGCGUUGUCCGGAAUUAUUGGGCGUAAAGGGCUCGCAGGCGGUUUCUUAAGUCUGAUGUGAAAGCCCCCGGCUCAACCGGGGAGGGUCAUUGGAAACUGGGAAACUUGAGUGCAGAAGAGGAGAGUGGAAUUCCACGUGUAGCGGUGAAAUGCGUAGAGAUGUGGAGGAACACCAGUGGCGAAGGCGACUCUCUGGUCUGUAACUGACGCUGAGGAGCGAA